UGUCAAGUGAGUAUCAUUUUUGACUGCCAUUGUGAAUCAGGCCUCAGCUGUCAUGGACUCCAGCUACCAGUCACUGGAGCUUAUGACCAACUGAGACCUGAUUGAUGAUGUCGGUCCAAAGGUGACAUCACUGACA
MicroRNA precursor from Callithrix jacchus (white-tufted-ear marmoset), 136 nucleotides. The record is from Ensembl. Lineage: Eukaryota; Metazoa; Chordata; Mammalia; Primates; Cebidae.